RNAcentral lists this ribosomal RNA (395 nucleotides) under uncultured bacterium. RNAcentral describes it as "partial 16S ribosomal RNA". It matches the Rfam family "Bacterial small subunit ribosomal RNA", at positions 523 to 918 of the family's 1533-position model. The record is from RNAcentral.
AUACGUAGGGGGCAAGCGUUAUCCGGAUUUACUGGGUGUAAAGGGAGCGUAGACGGAAGGCCAAGUCUGAUGUGAAAGCCCGCGGCUCAACUGCGGGACUGCAUUGGAAACUGGUCAUCUGGAGUGCAGGAGGGGUAAGCGGAAUUCCUAGUGUAGCGGUGAAAUGCGUAGAUAUUAGGAGGAACACUGGCGGAGAAGGCGGCUUUCGGGACUGUAACUGACAGUGAGGCACGAAAGCGUGGGGAGCAAACAGGAUUAGAUACCCUGGUAGUCCACGCCGUAAACGAUGAGCACUAGCUGUUGGGGCCGAAUGGUCUCAGUGGCGCAGUUAACGCAAUAAGUGCUCCGCCUGGGGAGUACGCGCGCAAGCGUAAAACUCAAAUGAAUUGACGGGG